This 151-nucleotide small nuclear RNA is filed under the name Suricata suricatta (meerkat). RNAcentral's name for it is "U4 spliceosomal RNA (ENSSSUG00005022571.1)". The stretch from base 1 to 115 matches the Rfam family "U4 spliceosomal RNA". Rfam says of the family: U4 small nuclear RNA (U4 snRNA) is a component of the major U2-dependent spliceosome. The structure of U4 snRNA from yeast and human has been reported. U4 snRNA presents a k-turn RNA motif in the 5p-SL related to recognition of Snu13 protein. Lineage: Eukaryota; Metazoa; Chordata; Mammalia; Carnivora; Herpestidae. The record is from RNAcentral.
AGCUUUGCAUGGUGGCAGUACCGUAGCCAGUGAGGUUUAUCCGAGGCGUGAUUAUUGCUCAUUGAAAACUUUUCCCACAGUAUUUACUUCGUAAUCUUUGUAUUUCUCUAACAGUAGUCAUAGCCCUUCUUUUUGAUUCUGCAAUUUGAGU